Molecule: long non-coding RNA, 408 nt
Filed under: Rosa chinensis
Lineage: Eukaryota; Viridiplantae; Streptophyta; Magnoliopsida; Rosales; Rosaceae
Description: sRNA RchiOBHm_Chr3g0490991
Source: RNAcentral
GGGUUUGUGUUCAUCGGCAAAAUUGGAGCAUUUCAAGGUAUUUUCUCACUUGGUCACAGUUAUGAAAAGUGGUUAGAAUGUUGAGAUGAUUCUGUGGUUGAAAUUUGGUGGCCGGAGGAGGAGUUGGGUGCCGCAUGAACAGUGUAGCCGUAUGAAUAGUGCGACGGUGAAUAGUGCGGUUUUGUAAAUGUGAUUUUUGGAGUGAUUUGAUAUGGAUUAGGAAUUUCUGAACUUUAGUGAGACGGGUGUCGAUUAUGGGAAUCCGACCUUCGUAUUUUUCCCUUGUUUCCGCUUUGGAAUACUUAAUCGAUAAAUUGGUAAUGGUGGUAAAGUUUGGAUUGAAUCCAAGAAGAAGUGGAUAGGUGAUUUAUGAGGAUAUGAUGUGGGAAUGGUAUUUAAUUUCCGAUG